RNAcentral lists this long non-coding RNA (218 nucleotides) under Elaeis guineensis (African oil palm). RNAcentral describes it as "long non-coding RNA (EGUI_LNC018097)". Lineage: Eukaryota; Viridiplantae; Streptophyta; Magnoliopsida; Arecales; Arecaceae. The record is from RNAcentral.
AGAUAGAGCAUCUAGAACCAAUCAUCCAGAUUAAGUGAUGCUGCAGUUGAAAACCAGCAUUGCAAAUUCUUUUCGAUAUGGGAGAAGCUUUAUGUGGCUUGCAAUAUCCAUCCCAAUUGCCUUUAAAUUUAUAUUUAGCCUUAACAAAUUGAGCCCAAAGUGAGGUGGGAUGUAUGAUAAGAUUGACAGCAAUUUUGCCCAUAAGAGACUAUUGCUUG